ACCAAAAAACCAAAAAACCCCCCAAAACCCUUGACCCCAGUGUGUUUGUGGCAGUACUCCACUGACUAGGUCAUCUCUGACUUCACGGUCUUUGGUGGUAAACAGGCCCAUGUAUACUGUUCUUCUCAAAACACAAUGCCAAUCUGGAGAGCUUUGAAAAGAGGCAAAGUGAUGGCACCCCUACCUAGGAACAGAGUCAGAAAGAGGCUUCUGGAAAGGUUAGGGCACUCAAAGGAUGGGGACCUUAAUGGCCUGCCUCUAUCCCAGAGCUAUCCCCUCCUGCUCUUCUGUGCUCCUAUCUGCCCAUCACUGCUCAGUUUUCUGUGCCUCACCAGCUCGCUUUCAUCUCCCUUAGUUAUUGUUCUUCUUUCUUCUUUUCACUUAUCUUUUUUUAAUAGUAUGGGUGUUUUGCCUGCAUGUUUAUUUGUGCACCAUUUGUGUGUUUGGUUCACUAUGCAGGAAAGAAAAAGAUAUCAGGUGCCCUGGAACUGGAGUCAUACAUGACUGUGAGCCACUGUGUGGAUGCUGGGAAUUGAACCUGGGUUCUUCUGGAAGAGCAGCCUGUGCUCUUAACUGCUGAACCCCGCCCCUCCUCUCAUUUUCCUAGGGUGACCUCCAACUCACAACAUUGCCUUGGGUGUGCUGGGGUUACAGACCUGCAUCGCUGACCAGGUCCUUUUCUCUUGGUGAUUAUGGGUCUUAAGACCUUCCAGAUGACCCCUCCCUCAAGCUAGAGGCACAGGGUGGAGGCCCCUAGGGAUGCUUUCAGAUGCCACACAGUAUGGCAGUGGCAGACACUGCCUGGCACUGUCAGAAUGACUGUGAGGGCUCAGGAAGCGACCGGGUCCUGGCUUGAGAGUGGCUUUCUUCUAAGCUACUCUUUCAUUUCAGCAUUCGAGACCUUCAUUCCUACGUGUUGCUAAGAUGAUCUCACUCAGUAGUCCAAGAUGGCCUUGAACAUUCAUGGCUAUCCAGUUCCUUCAGCCUUCUGAGGGCUGGGAUUACAGGCAUCAUCCUACCCAGCUUUUGGCCCUGCCUCCAGCAUGGGGGGGUGGGUGAUUAGGGUGGGGUUCCCUAUUCAGACUGAUACUGCCACCAGAGAGUUCUCUGUGCUUCCAGCUAUCAGGAGAUCACGCCCACAGGAGGAACUGUUCCAACAGCUUCAACUAUUUGUUCCUCCCACAGUGGCCAUAGGAAACCACUUAAAGCUCAGCACAGUCCUGUCCUUCCAGGGAGGACCCAAGGCAGCAGGUAAAAAGGAAACCUCUGGGGUUUGGGCAGCAUGCAGAGGCUGGCUUGGCCCAGAGGGCGCCAUCUUUCACUGGAGCCUCUCUACUGCAGUGCAGUAGAGACUACCUUUCUUUGAGCUUCAGGCUUACGGAGACUUCAACUCCCCAGAAUGACUUGGGGAGUGGAUGAAAUCUUGGCCAUUAAAAAAAAAAAAGACAUUGCAAGCUCUUUGGCACAUCCGUGGUUUCUGCAUCCCCGUUGGUACCUAUGUAGAGCCCCAGUAUGGAGGAGUAGCGGGAAAGAUGGACUUUAGCCCUACCCUGGAACUGCUUAUAGCUCUCAUUUCCCAAUUAACACUGAGGUGGGACUGGAGGUGGGAGGAUUGAAAAUCAGGAGUGGAGGGCUGGAGAUGGAGCCCGAGAUUCAACCUACAGCACCUCAUAACGUGACACGGUGGCAGGGCUUUACUGUAUGUCUAGCCUUGGAAGGUAGAGGCUGGAAGAGCAGGAGGAGUUCACUGCCAUCCUCAGCUGGGUAGGGAGUUUGAGGCUAGCCUGGGCUACAUUAGAGUAUGCCUCAAAAACAAUUACGAGGAACAAAAUUGGGAGGUCUGGUUUGGGGGACAAGGAAGACUUUAACAGUGUGGUUUGCUGGGUGUCACCCAUGCGCCCUGAAUCCUGUCACAGCUAAAAAGGGGGAGAACCAUGGUGCUGACCUGCGUUGGUGGCAGUACUGUGCUAAUGGCGGUACUUAGAGGCCUCAGCUCCUUGCACACAGGAUGGGUUCUUAGGCUUCAUUUGCUCCCAUGGUAUGUAUCUGAGACUGGGGGACUCGGUGUACCUGUCUGAGCCCCGGGGGCUGGGAAUGUGACAGAACAUUUUUUUUGGGGGGAGGUGUUUUCUAUCUCAUAGACUCCCCAAAUUCCUGGGCUGGGUUGUGGCAGAGGAUGUUGGUAUAGAGUCGCUGUUAGAAGCCUUCCUCACAGCCAAAGCCAAUCCUCAGGCAAGUUUAUUUAACCUCUCGGAUCUCUUUCUGCCUUUGUGAACUGGUAAUGCCUACUUUACCCAGUGGUGGUGAGAUAAGACAGCGGGUAAAGUGCAAGGCCUGGUACAAAGUACACAUGGCAGCUAAAAAAGUAUUUCAGGCCCUCCCUCUCUUUUCCAUUCCUGUAAUUUUGCCUCCCUCCCCUUUCUUACUUUACUUUUCUCUACGGCCCAUCGCCAGCUAGUUCUUUACUGAUAUUUGUUCAUUUUCUGACUCACUUGAUUCCUGCGUUUGUUUUCAAGCCUGCUGGCCCCAGUGCCUGGCAUCCUAUAGCACCCACCAUUGCUGGAGGAACUGAUGAAGGCGGGCAAACUGACCUAUAGACAUCCUUCCAGAUACUUCCAAGUUGCAUUGCUCACUAGGGAUUGUUAUGAAAGAACUUGAGGGCCGAUGUACACACAGAGCACAGCACAGCACAGCACAGAUAGAGCUUGGGGAGUGGGCGGACUUCUCAGAGUUCACAGGUUUAAGUGCGAAGUGCCAGGUUGUGAAGUGACUGAAGAGCUAUUAUCCCGGGAAGAAGAAACCCUUCAGGCUUUUAAUACAGAUUUUAGAAGUUACAUUAUAUGUGUGUAUUGGUCUCCUUCCACCAAGUGGAUCUCUAGGAUUAAACUCAAGACUGUCAGACUUCGUGACAAGUACCUUGAGUCAUGUCACCUAGUUUUCUUCUUUAUUAUCUGUCUAAGGGCGAAGGUCAUGUUGAAUAACAACUGUACACUCACCUUAGAGGCAGUUGCCAGGAGGAACUAAUGUUUGAAGCUGUCCAUCCUACCCAUUGAUCAGGUUGCUGUCAGCACGGAGGAUUGUUUGGUCAAUGCUGCCAUCUGGUGGACAACUGGAGCAAGUCUGGCAGGAGGAACAAGUUCCCAGGAAGGAAGAGGCAGAGAGAAGGUCACUGCUGACGUCAAGGGCUUUCAGGUAGGAGGUAAACACAAGAUGACCCACUUUUAUUCCACUGUCUUUCACCUUCAUCUUCUGGCUGGAGUAGCCUUUUCUGGCAUCCCUGAUAACAGCACUCACUCCUUGAUAGUAUCCUCUGUCCCAGAUCCCAGUCCCUAUAAUCCCAAGUACUUAUGGGUACCCAAGCACUAUUCUGUGCUUCUCCCCUGGCCCCCCAGCCCCUGUAGGGUGUCUGUAUGUCUUGGAACUUGCUCUGUAGACUUGAACUCAGAAAUCUUCUUGUCUCUGCCGCUGAGUGCUGGGAUUAAAUGUGUUUGCUAGCAUACCUGGUUUACUCUUUGGUUCUUGACUCCAGCCAUUCUUCCUGCUCCUGCACAGGUGCACAGGUGUAUGGACUAGCCAGAGGGAGGCAGGAAGGGUUAAAGGGCACUGUGUGUUUAGUCUGUGCUCGCCUGGCUCACUCUUAAGGUUCAAAAAUUUCAUUUGUCUUUAGGACAAAUAUUGAUCUAAGGGGUAGGAAAGGCCAGUUUCUUCUCUUCAGACACAGGGACCUUUAGGAGAGGGUGGCUUUCUGCUCUUGCUGGGGUGACACCAGGACUCAAGGGCUCUCUGAAAGCGCAGGGUUUUGUUAGACUCGAGGGACCUGUGAUGGUUAGUUUUAAUUGUCAACUUGACACAGUCUAGAAUCUCUUGGGAAGAGAAAAGUCUAGAUCAUGUUGGCCUGUGGGUAUGUCAGUGGGGGAUUCUCUUGAUUGCAAUUACUUGAUGUGGAAGACUGACCCACUGUAGGUGGUUCCAUUCCCUGGCUUUGGGUCCUGGACUGUGGAGAAACUGAACUAAGUAAGCAUUAGAAGCAUGCAUGCACACAUUAUGUUCAUUUCUCUCUCUGAUCUUUAAUUUUUUGUUUUGUUUUUUGAGAUAGAAUUUCACUACACAGGCCUUGCUGGCCGGGAACUUGCUUUGUAGAUCAAACUAGCUUCCAAUUUUCAGAGAACUACCUGCCCCUGCCCUCCAGGUGCUAAGAUUAGAGGCAUGAGCCACCAAGCUCUGUUAUUAUUUUGUUCUUUU
Molecule: long non-coding RNA, 4242 nt
Organism: Mus musculus (house mouse)
Lineage: Eukaryota; Metazoa; Chordata; Mammalia; Rodentia; Muridae
Product: predicted gene, 38411
Exons: 3
Source: RefSeq, a predicted model, not a curated record